UUCCGUUGCUUUCCUCUAUUUUAUAUUACUUAUGGGUGCCGUAUUUAUGUUAUGUAAUCUGCUUCUGUGUUUUACUAUGUGUUUGUAUGGUAUCUCGUGUCUUGGGCCGGGGGUCUAUCGGAAACAGCCUUUCUACUUCAUCAGAGGUAGAGGUAUGGACUGCGUACAUCUUACCCCCCCCAGACCCCACUAGGUGGGAAUACACUGGGU
This 210-nucleotide long non-coding RNA is filed under the name Capsicum annuum. RNAcentral describes it as "long non-coding RNA (CANN_LNC001968)". Lineage: Eukaryota; Viridiplantae; Streptophyta; Magnoliopsida; Solanales; Solanaceae. The record is from RNAcentral.